This 503-nucleotide ribosomal RNA is filed under the name uncultured bacterium. RNAcentral describes it as "bacterial SSU rRNA". It matches the Rfam family "Bacterial small subunit ribosomal RNA", at positions 43 to 518 of the family's 1533-position model. The record is from RNAcentral.
CGUGCCUAAUACAUGCAAGUCGAACGGUCUUUCUAUGGAAGCUUGCUUCCACUGAGAAGAUAGUGGCGAACGGGUGAGUAACACGUGGGUAACCUGCCCAUAAGAGGGGGAUAACAUCCGGAAACGGGUGCUAAUACCGCAUAGUUUUCUUGAUCGCAUGAUUGAGAAAGGAAAGACGGCCUUUGUGCUGUCGCUUAUGGAUGGACCCGCGGCGUAUUAGUUAGUUGGUGAGGUAACGGCUCACCAAGACGAUGAUACGUAGCCGACCUGAGAGGGUGAUCGGCCACAUUGGGACUGAGACACGGCCCAAACUCCUACGGGAGGCAGCAGUAGGGAAUCUUCCGCAAUGGACGAAAGUCUGACGGAGCGACGCCGCGUGGAAUGAAGAAGGCCGGAAGGUUGUAAAAAUCCUUUUGAAACUGAAGAAUAAGCGUUGUAGGGAAUGACAGCGUGGUGACAGUAGGUUUUGAAUAAGCAACGGCUAAUUACGUGCCAGCAGCCGC